ACGCUCGACACCUACGAGAGGCAGCAGUCGGGAAUAUUGCGCAAUGGAGGAAACUCUGACGGGGCAGUGACGCCGCGUAUAGGAAGAAGGUUUUCGGAUUGUAAACUAUUGUCGUUAGGGAAGAGAAAGGACAGUACCUAAGGAGGAAGCUCCGGCUAACUACGUGCCAGUAGCCGCGGUAAUCUGAGCGGGCUGGCAAGGC
This 202-nucleotide ribosomal RNA is filed under the name uncultured bacterium. RNAcentral describes it as "partial 16S ribosomal RNA". It matches the Rfam family "Bacterial small subunit ribosomal RNA", at positions 328 to 539 of the family's 1533-position model. The record is from RNAcentral.